Molecule: ribosomal RNA, 369 nt
Filed under: Amblyomma sculptum
Lineage: Eukaryota; Metazoa; Arthropoda; Arachnida; Ixodida; Ixodidae
Description: partial 12S ribosomal RNA
Source: RNAcentral
UAAACUAGGAUUAGAUACCCUAUUAUUAGAAAUAAUACAUUGUUAGUAAAUAAUAUUUAUGAAAACAAAAAAUCAUGGCGGUAUCUUAAGCUUUUCAGAGGAAUUUGCUCUUUAAUGGAUAAAACACCCAAAUCUUACUAAAAUUGGUUAAGACAGUUUGUAUACCACUAUUUAAGUAAUUAUUAAUUAUAAUUGCUGUAAAUUUUAAACAAAAAAAAAGUUAAGUCAAGGUGCAGCAUAAAUUUUAGGAUGAAGUGAAUUACAAUGCUUUUUAGAAAAGCGAUUUAAAAAAAAAAAUUAGGAUUUGAAAGUAAAAAUUUUAAUAGAAUGAUUAUUUGAAUUAAGCUCUGAGAUAUGUACAUAUCGCCC